RNAcentral lists this ribosomal RNA (1009 nucleotides) under Paraburkholderia sediminicola. RNAcentral describes it as "bacterial SSU rRNA". It matches the Rfam family "Bacterial small subunit ribosomal RNA", at positions 60 to 1061 of the family's 1533-position model. The record is from RNAcentral. Lineage: Bacteria; Pseudomonadati; Pseudomonadota; Betaproteobacteria; Burkholderiales; Burkholderiaceae.
AGUCGAACGGCAGCACGGGGGCAACCCUGGUGGCGAGUGGCGAACGGGUGAGUAAUACAUCGGAACGUGUCCUGUAGUGGGGGAUAGCCCGGCGAAAGCCGGAUUAAUACCGCAUACGCUCUGCGGAGGAAAGCGGGGGAUCCUUCGGGACCUCGCGCUACAGGGGCGGCCGAUGGCAGAUUAGCUAGUUGGUGGGGUAAAGGCCUACCAAGGCGACGAUCUGUAGCUGGUCUGAGAGGACGACCAGCCACACUGGGACUGAGACACGGCCCAGACUCCUACGGGAGGCAGCAGUGGGGAAUUUUGGACAAUGGGCGAAAGCCUGAUCCAGCAAUGCCGCGUGUGUGAAGAAGGCCUUCGGGUUGUAAAGCACUUUUGUCCGGAAAGAAAACCUCCGCCCUAAUACGGUGGGGGGAUGACGGUACCGGAAGAAUAAGCACCGGCUAACUACGUGCCAGCAGCCGCGGUAAUACGUAGGGUGCAAGCGUUAAUCGGAAUUACUGGGCGUAAAGCGUGCGCAGGCGGUCCGCUAAGACAGAUGUGAAAUCCCCGGGCUUAACCUGGGAACUGCAUUUGUGACUGGCGGGCUAGAGUAUGGCAGAGGGGGGUAGAAUUCCACGUGUAGCAGUGAAAUGCGUAGAGAUGUGGAGGAAUACCGAUGGCGAAGGCAGCCCCCUGGGCCAAUACUGACGCUCAUGCACGAAAGCGUGGGGAGCAAACAGGAUUAGAUACCCUGGUAGUCCACGCCCUAAACGAUGUCAACUAGUUGUCGGGUCUUCAUUGACUUGGUAACGUAGCUAACGCGUGAAGUUGACCGCCUGGGGAGUACGGUCGCAAGAUUAAAACUCAAAGGAAUUGACGGGGACCCGCACAAGCGGUGGAUGAUGUGGAUUAAUUCGAUGCAACGCGAAAAACCUUACCUACCCUUGACAUGUAUGGAAUCCUGCUGAGAGGUGGGAGUGCCCGAAAGGGAGCCAUAACACAGGUGCUGCAUGGCUGUCGUCAGCUC